CCGCAAGGCUAAAACCCAAAGGAAUUGACGGGGGCUUACACAAGCGGUGGGGCAUGUGGUUUAAUUCGAAACAACGCGCAAAACCUUACCAAUCCUUGACAUAUGAAAAACCAGGGUGUUUACCCGCUCUGUCUCUUUUAUACAGGUGCUGCAUGGCUGUCGUCAGUUCGUGGUGUGAGCUGUUGGGUUAAGUCCCAGAACGAACGCAACCCUCCUUUGAAAUGAAGGUUUACCUUUUUCAAAGACUGCCAAGGAUAUCUUGGAGGAAGGUGAGGAUGACGUCAAGUCCGCAUGGCCCUUAUGGGUUGGGCUACACACGUGCUACAAUGGGAAUGACAAAAGGAGGCAACAUGGCAACAUUGAGCAAAUCCCAAAAAGUUUCCUUAGUUCGGAUUGUUCUCUGCAACUCGAGAACAUGAAGUUGGAAUCGCUAGUAAUCGUAGAUCAGCACGCUACGGUGAAUUUGUAUCUAAGCCUUGUACACACCGCCCGUCACACUCUGAAAAUUUUCAUGCCUUGAAGCAAAAGAAGUUCACCAAGAACACACAGCGCAACUAAAAAAAAACAUCUUCCCUUUUUUUUUCUGUGUCUUUGUUGGAACCUUUUCUAGAGUUAGGGAGGUGAUUGGAGUG
This 632-nucleotide ribosomal RNA is filed under the name uncultured picoeukaryote. RNAcentral's name for it is "partial 16S ribosomal RNA". It matches the Rfam family "Bacterial small subunit ribosomal RNA", at positions 886 to 1482 of the family's 1533-position model. The record is from RNAcentral.